UGCACGCCCUGCAGAAUACCUGCCAAGCUUGCUAUACCCAGCCUGUCCCAGGCCUCACCCCCAUUUAGACCAAUACAGCCAGCAGGUAGGGAGCUAUAAAGGAGUCAGGAGUAUUGAUUGCGCACCUUAUCCAAGCCAGGCUCCUUAAUCUCACAGCUGGCCCAGCCUCUAGCUGCUGACUCAGUCUCCGGCACAAUCCUCCACACCUGUAUCAGGGUUUCUGGACCUCGGCUGCCGGCGCCCUCGCCCUCGGACUCCCCAGCUCGGCUCCCUUGCUCUCCUGGCACCUGGACGGUCAGCGCCCAGCUCCCACCUGCGGAGCUCGGCACCACCCUGGCCUCAAAGGGAAGGACUGUCAUGGGAGCCCACUCCGCCAGCCAUCCGGCUCACGGG
Molecule: long non-coding RNA, 393 nt
Filed under: Heterocephalus glaber (naked mole-rat)
Lineage: Eukaryota; Metazoa; Chordata; Mammalia; Rodentia; Bathyergidae
Description: lncRNA (ENSHGLG00000032309.1)
Source: RNAcentral